RNAcentral lists this ribosomal RNA (301 nucleotides) under uncultured bacterium. RNAcentral describes it as "partial 16S ribosomal RNA". It matches the Rfam family "Bacterial small subunit ribosomal RNA", at positions 509 to 807 of the family's 1533-position model. The record is from RNAcentral.
CAGCAGCCGCGGGAAUACGAAGGGUGCAAGCGUUACUCGGAAUUACUGGGCGUAAAGCGUGCGUAGGUGGUGGUUUAAGUCCGUUGUGAAAGCCCUGGGCUCAACCUGGGAAUUGCAGUGGAUACUGGGUCACUAGAGUGUGGUAGAGGAUAGUGGGAUUUCCGGUGUAGCAGUGAAAUGCGUAGAGAUCGGAAGGAACAUCUGUGGCGAAGGCGACUAUCUGGGCCAACACUGACACUGAGGCACGAAAGCGUGGGGUGCAAACAGGAUUAGAGACCCCUGUAGUCCCUGUCUCUUAUAC